GAAACCAACAGGGAUUGCCCCAGUAACGGGGAGUGAAGCGGCAACAGCUCAAAUUUGAAAUUUGGCCCCCCCCCCCGCGGGGGCCCGAGUUGUAAUUUGCAGAGGAUGCUUUUGGCGAGGCGCCUUCCGAGUUCCCUGGAACGGGACGCCGCAGAGGGUGAGAGCCCCGUCUGGUCGGACGCCGAGCCUCUGUAAAGCUCCUUCGACGAGUCGAGUAGUUUGGGAAUGCUGCUCUAAACGGGAGGUAUAUGUCUUCUAAAGCUAAAUAUCGGCCAGAGACCGAUAGCGCACAAGUAGAGUGAUCGAAAGAUGAAAAGCACUUUGAAAAGAGGGUUAAACAGUACGUGAAAUUGUUGAAAGGGAAGCGCUCGUGACCAGACUCGGGCGGGGCGGAUCACCCGGCGUUCUCGCCGGGGCACUCCGCCUGGCCCGGGCCAGCAUCAGCUCGCGCCGGGGGACAAAGGCGGCGGGAACGUGGCUCCUCCGGGAGUGUUAUAGCCCGCCGCGCAAUGCCCUGGGGCGGGCUGAGGUUCGCGCGUCCUCGCAAGGAUGCUGGCGUAAUGGUCACCAGCGACCCGUCUUGAAACACGGACCAAGGAGUCGUCUUCGUAUGCGAGUGUUCGGGUGUCAAACCCCUACGCGGAAUGAAAGUGAACGCGGGUGAGAGCUUCGGCGCAUCAUCGACCGAUCCUGAUGUUCUCGGAUGGAUUUGAGUAGGAGCAUACGGGGCCGGACCCGAAAGAAGGUGAACUAUGCCUGUAUAGGGUGAAGCCAGAGGAAACUCUGGUGGAGGCUCGCAGCGGUUCUGACGUGCAAAUCGAUCGUCAAAUAUGGGCAUGGGGGCGAAAGACUAAUCGAACCUUCUAGUAGCUGGUUUCCGCCGAAGUUUCCCUCAGGAUAGCAGUGCUGGUCUCAGUUUUAUGAGGUAAAGCGAAUGAUUAGGGACCCGGGGGCGCCUUCAGCCUUCAUCCAUUCUCAA
Molecule: ribosomal RNA, 979 nt
Filed under: Neoclaviceps monostipa
Lineage: Eukaryota; Fungi; Ascomycota; Sordariomycetes; Hypocreales; Clavicipitaceae
Description: LSU rRNA
Rfam family: Eukaryotic large subunit ribosomal RNA
Source: RNAcentral